Non-coding RNA from Rattus norvegicus (Norway rat), 6044 nucleotides. Lineage: Eukaryota; Metazoa; Chordata; Mammalia; Rodentia; Muridae. The record is from RefSeq and is a predicted model, not a curated record.
AUCAACAGUCAUGAAUGCUUUCUUUUAAAAGACUCCGGCUGCAUUGUUGACCUAUAGACUAUACGUUGUCCUCUGGAACGCCCUGUGGUGGGUGAUGCCUGCUUUCUGGCUGUCUUGAGAGGAAAUGGAAAGUUUAAAUCACGGGCUUAAGUACCAGAACCAAGAAUUAAACUGCGGUGACAAAGCAGUUCCGAAGGUCACGUUGCAAUGACAGAGGGAGCUGGCAUGCUCUCUUCUUACGAAGAUUGGUUCUCAUCUCGGCUCUAGCCAUUUCAUCCCUAGGUCUAGUGUGUCCCUGGGAGAAGGGGACCUCCAAACCAGUUCAGCAGUGAACCGUUUGAGCUGGGACAGUCUGAGAGGCAAGAGCACGUGGUGGCCUCUUGUCUACAGAUGUUCCUCCAUUAGGAGGGAGGGGACUGAAACGCAGAUGUCUGGACACCCCCUGCUGCUUCUUUUGUUAUGCAACAUGGCUCCUAAGCCCAAGCUGCCUAGAAAUAGAGAGGCACUCAGAAGGUAUUUACGGAGCAGGUCCUGUAAAUACUCAGGUGGGAGGAGUCAUGGGCAGAGCCGGGCUGGGGGACAGUGGUGUGCAGUCGUGUGUGAAACCAUUGCACUUCCUUCCCCACUAAGGGCACAACUCACUGGGGAGGCUGACAUUAAUAACACAAGGCCAGAAAGCCGUGGGAACCCGGGGCUUAGUCCAGUCCAGAGGUUGAGGAGGGCUUUGCUGAGAAGCAGGCUGCCUUGAACUCAGAGAUCCACCUGUCCCUGCCUCCCCAGUGCUGGGUUUAAAAGCGUGGGCCACCACCAGCCGGAGGAAGAUAUAUUGAGGGCGCAGGACGCAUGUAACGGAUGGAGAAGGGAAGACUGUGUCGGAGGAAGGAAAUUCACAAGAGUGACUAGAGAGAAUGCCGAAGGAUAAUGGGAAAGGGGGGGCAAAUCAACUAGAACAAAAUAUAAUCACGUGUGUGCACCGAAAUGCCAGAAUAAAACCUAUUACUUGAAAAUUAAUUAAAAAAAUUAGAAUAUAUAGCUUUCUCUGGCCAUGUAGCCAUUUGUAUUUCAACAUCGGAAGGAAAAGCAACAUUAGGUGCCUUCUUUGGUUUGGAUACGUGGGGAUUCAGGAGGCCUUACCACAUAAUAUACAGAAGUCACUCUUUGUCACAUUGGACCUCGCAUAAUCUUGACCUUUCGCCUCCAUACCACUGACACCUCUCACAGUAUUUUACAGUGAUGCUUCAGUACAGCAAGGGUGAGAGUUUGGCCUGGCUGCUGAGCCACCAUGCUGACCGUAACAACAAAUAUGGAGACAGUCCAGGUGGCUGGUCGGUGGUCACUCAGAGUAAGGUGGACCCGAAGAUAAGAUUGCUUUGAGGAGAAUGGCCGCCAGAUUAAAGGGACAUAGCUCCUGGAUUCCUGAAGCAACCCUACCAGUGAAAGGAUGUCGUCAAUCUCCUCCAUGCCAGCCAGCGUGGCUUUUUGCAUAGUGACAUCAGCAUGGGGUGUCCCCGAACUGUGGGGCCAUCUCAGUCACCGCUGAACUUCAACCUCCACGGCAAAGUGCAGCAGCCUCCGCCAACCAUGAAGGCAACGGAGACUGAGCGAGAACUAAUCCAAUGGCAGGAGCUAGGGAAGACCUUGGAUCAUCCGCGGGGGUGCGGUGGACAGAGCGGAAGCGGUUUCCUCAGGUUCAACACUGACGUCCCCGACAAAUUAUUUGCCGUGAGGGCUAACUCCAAGCAGCCUUUGUUAGAAGCAUAGAAAUAAACACUUCCCAGUGUAACUCGGGAUGCUUGGUUCUGAAGGAGGCCGAGGGCUACAGAACUAAUGCUUGAGCAUUUGCUCUGGGCCUGGCUUUGUUCGAGGGGGCGGGGUCCUACAGAUACCGCCAUCUUUAAUCCUCACCGCAGUCCUUGGAUGUUAGUCUCCACCAAGCAGGAAAGCCACCUAAGGUUCAAAGAGGCGAACUGCAUUGUAUAAAGCAAAACAGGCCUGGUUUCCAGCUUGAAAAGCUGCUGAGAGAGGCCUCCUGGUGUAGCAGGGGCCUUCAGACUCGAAACUCCUCGCUUUUUUUUUUUUUUUUUUUUAAAGCCCAAUCCCACCCUUUCCAGGGCACGCCUACGGGAUCUUGGUAUUUUUCUGGAAAGCUCAACUACUUUUCAACUCUCCGUCCCGAGAAAGCUGGUGGGUGUGUCAUAAAAAUCAAACCGAAUUUUUUUAAGUAGAAAUCGCGCAACUGGGCAUUUUGUGAUGAAGUCGCUGUUCAGAUACUGACACUGCACUUGGGUUAACAGACAUGACAGUGGAGGCUUCAAAAAAAAAAAAAAUCAACCCACUGACAGAUGUCGAGAGUGGAAAAAAAGGACCCUGCCCGUAAUAUAGUGAAUUGCUGUAUUUAGGCCUCCAAAGAUUCAAGAGCAUACCUUCGCCUUCAUGAUUGACUUGGAAAGAAAUAGAAAUUAGGACCACACGAGCCAAAUGCACCGAGUUCUUGUAGGCACCCUCAGGCUGUGCGAGGGGCAGCAAGCUCUGCGAGGCCUUCUCACCAACCACACUUUCCUUACUCUCUGUGAUGACUUACAUGGUGCUAGCCUGUCAGAGCCCCCUCAGGUUUCUUCCCCGUCCCAGAAUUUUGACUUAACUGGCAUUUAUAUCCCUCUGACAAGACCAGCCAUUCCUCCUCCAGCCUUUGUCCCACUCUAUCUCCUUCUGGGGACUUUUCUCCUCCAAGAUCUGGAUCUUUGUCGUCACCUAGGGCCACCAUAGUCUCAGGAAAGCCUGCUUCUAUCAACCUACCCAAAGGGCCUCUCUUGGGGCUGGGAAACAGCACAGAGGGAAAGCAUUUGCCUGCCUGGGUUUGAUUUAUAGCGCCCCCAAAAUAAGAUAAACGAGGGAUCUCUUUCUACCACCCACUUUGAUCAUUCUAUCCACCCACUCUCUAUCCCGUAAUUCGUCUCAUCUAUAGCAAGCUCUCUCUGUAUAUGGUUGUUAAGAACAGUGUUUACUGCUCUCUCUUCCUUUGGACUGAAUGCUUAAUGAGAGCAGGCCUUUUCUUUCCUGGGGUCUACACUGACAAACAUACGUGUGUCUAAUGUGGAAUGAGCAACUGAGAGAGAGAAUGGCCAGCUAAACUACAGACCAGGAACGAAAAGACUCUUCUCAGAGUCCUUGCCUGGCAUCUGAGAGGUCCAUUGAUCUUCCAAAGCCUUUAACCUAUCUGAACCCCAGCUUCCUCCUUAGAAGCUGUGAGGGAAGGAUGGGUGUGGAAACUCCAUGGAUACCACCUAACCUGUAUCAUCUGUGCUCACCAGGGCCUGGCAUCUCCUGGCAGAAUUCAGAGGAACAGAUAUCUUCGUGUGGCUGAUUCAUAUGUUUCCAUUUGUCUGUCAAGCAACCUCCUGAAUACUGAGCUCCUAGGGACUGGGGUCUAUAUAAGGAGGCAGGAGCUUACUCCUUGACUUAAUUGGGGACUAAUUAGUAAGCAAUGCUAACCAGCCCUUUAUUAGUCAUGGGUCUGAUGAGCUGAAAUGAAGCAAGGCUGAACACAAAAAUUCCAUUAACUCUAGCCCUAUUCACACCCAGUGUCAGCCAUGCCACUUGAUGGCUUGAAGCAAGCUGCCUUUCAUUUAUCGAAGUCAUUAAUUUUGUAGGGAGAGACAAAGAACUCGAAUCUCUAAGCAUGCAAGCAAUAAUCGCAGUUGAAGACAACCUAUUCAGAGCCAGGGACUCUUAGCAUAAUAAAAAUUUCAUAAAGAUCAAGAGAGAGGUAGCCCAGGCUAGAGUCAUGAAGAAGACCCCAAGAUUCACACUUGCUAAGAGACUUUUUAUUGUUUUGUAUUUUUUCUGUCUUACUCGUUAUCCAAGUACAAUCAGGACGCUGAAUCCUGUGAAUGGUAUAGUCUGGAUAGGCAGGAAAUCAAAACAGAACACCGUCUACUUAGGCUGAGCUGAGUACGACAUACUCUGACCUGCCUGCAGGAGGAUUUGUGUACUGGGAGUGGCUGGGAGAGGGCUUUGAAUGGCAGGGCUGCGUCAACAACAGACACGGCGUCGUUUUCAAAGCUGGCUGCACAAUGAGCCCAUUUUUCAUAUUUCCUAUGUAAUUGACACCGAUACCUCUCCCAUGGAGUGUGUGUAUAGGUCCGUUUCUCCCUGUCUUGAACCCAGAGUUUUGUGACUUGAUGUAUGGAAGAAACGACAUGUGUGUCUUACUUAGGGUUUCUAUUGCAGUGAAGAAACACCAUGAUCAUAGUAACUCUUACAAAGGAAAACAUUGAAGUGGGACUGGCUUCCAGCGCAGAGGGUUCAUCUGUUAUCAUCAUGGCGGGAAGCAUGGCGGCACACAAGGUAGACAUGGUGCUAGAGAGGUUAGCUGAGAGUUCUACAUCCAGAUAGGCAGCCAGAAGAGGGAGCUACACUGAGCCUGGCUUUAGCUUCCGAAAUCUCAAAGCCCACCCUCUCUGGCACACUUCCUCCAACAAGGCCACACCUCCUCCAACAAGGCCACACCUCCUCCAACAAGGCCACACCUCCUCCAACAAGGCCACACCUCCUCCAACAAGGCCACACCUCCUCCAACAAGGCCACACCUCCUCCAACAAGGCCACACCUCCUAAUAGUGCCUACCGGGACCAUCUUCUUUCAAACCACUACUAUGUGAGUCCCAAGACUAGAACAAACAUUUUCCUCUCUCGUAAUAUUUCCCCCCUUAGAACCCAGUCCCUGUUCUGUGAAAAAUCCUUGAGCAGCCCGUGUGGAGAGAGCUCAUGAACAUGUCAUGCAUAGAUGUUCUGGUAAUAUGCUGUCUGAAGACCCUGCUCACAGCCGACGUGAGUCACGAGACAUAAGUGAAGACAACCCUAGAUAUUUCUAGUCCCCAGUCUUCAUGCCUUCCGAGAUGAUGCCUAAGCUGGGGGGAAGCAGAGACAAACCACCUAUGCGAAGCUGUCUAAAUCCUCAACACUGAGAACUUACAAAGCAACAGUUGUUUCAUGCCACCCCCAAAUAACCGUGUCCUGGGGCCAUUCUGUAGCACAUCAAGGGUAGCUGGAAGAAGCUCUUCACCUGGCAGCCCUUUGAAGGGUGGAACAGAGAUGUGCUCGGUGACAGGGAGCCCAAGGCACAAGGCACUCACAGCACCUUGUCUCUGUGGUAGUUGUAUGAGGCCACAGGCAAGCCAGAGACCACCCUUUCCCUCUUACCUGAUACUUCCUGAGCUGUUCCUGCCUAAUCACCCCCUCAGGCUGGAGAAGCACUGUUCAUAAUGCUAUCCUAGUCUGUUACACGGACCCUACAUAGUCUAGAACAUUCCAUUUACAUUCUCCUCGUGAAUGCUGGCCAUCAUUUGGGUCUUUAGUUGGGAUGCUGCAAAGAAACGUCCCCCAAACCCCUGUGUAUCUCUCCAUAUUAGCAAUAAUAAAUAAAAAGCCAAUAAAUUAGAAAUGUACUCUAAGUCCAACAGCCAAUGGGAGAAUAUACAUCUGAGGGGAAGAAGCUGUAUGUGUGUGUGUGUCUGGGGUGGGGGAAGGAGGAGGAGGAAAGUGGGCAUUAAGAGUGGGUAACUUUCCCUCCUAUUUCAGCUUCAAACAUUCGGAACUUCUUUAGGAGUCCUUCACAGGACGAUCCUGGCAGCAUACUCUCUGCAAAGACCUCCUGCCAGAAGGUUGACAUUUGGGACCAAGGUGACCAGGGACAGGGCCGUCAGCUGACUGAGCAUCUGCUGUGGAAAUCACCACACUGGCUCAAGCUGUGUGUAGACCCAGCUAGGUCCUUUGAGAUGGCAGUGUAACCAAGAUGGCAGACAGAAGUGAGGGAUGUAGACCUUACAGCCGUGCCUGGUAGGAGACAGAAGGCUAGGGGCAGUCUCUACCAGCCCUACCCUUCAGGUCAUCGAGUGUUGGAUGGUCUGCCACGUGCUGCUGCUGACAAGAGCCGAGUGUGUAAAACCCAGCCCUGACAGGAGCUCGUGCUCAUGUCUUGGAAAUGUACAAAACUCUCUUUGGCUCUCACUGCUUGUCUGUGAAAACCAGGUACAUUUGAGAACA